This 209-nucleotide long non-coding RNA is filed under the name Elaeis guineensis (African oil palm). Its description in RNAcentral is "long non-coding RNA (EGUI_LNC069138)". Lineage: Eukaryota; Viridiplantae; Streptophyta; Magnoliopsida; Arecales; Arecaceae. The record is from RNAcentral.
UGGGCUGACCAAUACUUGGAAUGGUGCUGGUUUGGAGCAUCUCAUGUGGGUGAGGGAGUGGGUGUAAAUUGAUUAUCAUAUGUGAUGGCAAUUCUAUCUUAUAUAGGAAUCCUUCUUUCAUGAGUAUUAGACUAAUUCAAAUCAGAUUUGAGUUAAGACUCCUAUACUUAUUGGGUCAUGAGAUUCAUCUAUAAAUUAAGAGGGUCUCU